This 490-nucleotide ribosomal RNA is filed under the name uncultured bacterium. RNAcentral describes it as "partial 16S ribosomal RNA". It matches the Rfam family "Bacterial small subunit ribosomal RNA", at positions 30 to 507 of the family's 1533-position model. The record is from RNAcentral.
AUUGAACGCUGGCGGCAGGCCUAACACAUGCAAGUCGAACGGUAACAGGAAGAGGCUUGCUUCUUUGCUGACGAGUGGCGGACGGGUGAGUAAUGUCUGGGAAACUGCCUGAUGGAGGGGGAUAACUACUAGAAACGGUAGCUAAUACCGCAUAACGUCGCAAGACCAAAGAGGGGGACCUUCUGGCCUCUUGCCAUCGGAUGUGCCCAGAUGGGAUUAGCUAGUAGGUGGGGUAACGGCUCACCUAGGCGACGAUCCCUAGCUGGUCUGAGAGGACGACCAGCCACACUGGAACUGAGACACGGUCCAGACUCCUACGGGAGGCAGCAGUGGGGAAUAUUGCACAAUGGGCGCAAGCCUGAUGCAGCCAUGCCGCGUGUAUGAAGAAGGCCUUCGGGUUGUAAAGUACUUUCAGCGGGGAGGAAGGGAGUAAAGUUAAUACCUUUGCUCAUUGACGUUACCCGCAGAAGAAGCACCGGCUAACUCCGUG